GACGAACGCUGGCGGCGUGCUUAACACAUGCAAGUCGAACGGUGAAGGGGUCUGCUUUUGUGGGCCCUGGAUGAGUGGCGAACGGGUGAGUAACACGUGAGUAACCUGCCCCCUUCUUCUGGAUAACCGCAUGAAAGUGUGGCUAAUACGGGAUAUUCUGGGUCUGUCGCAUGAUGGGUCUGGGAAAGAUUGCGCCUUUGGGUGUUUUUGGUGGGGGAUGGGCUCGCGGCCUAUCAGCUUGUUGGUGGGGUGAUGGCCUACCAAGGCGGUGACGGGUAGCCGGCCUGAGAGGGUGGACGGUCACACUGGGACUGAGACACGGCCCAGACUCCUACGGGAGGCAGCAGUGGGGAAGAUUGCACAAUGGGCGCAAGCCUGAUGCAGCGACGCCGCGUGAGGGAGGGAGGCCUUCGGGUUGUAAACCUCUUUCGCCAGUGAAGCAGGCCUGCUCCUUGUGGGUGGGUUGACGGUAGCUGGAGAAGAAGCGCCGGCUAACUACGUG
Molecule: ribosomal RNA, 502 nt
Filed under: uncultured bacterium
Lineage: Bacteria
Description: partial 16S ribosomal RNA
Rfam family: Bacterial small subunit ribosomal RNA
Source: RNAcentral